UGGAAGUCCAUUGGCUCUUAAAAGGGU
RNAcentral lists this non-coding RNA (27 nucleotides) under Rattus norvegicus (Norway rat). Lineage: Eukaryota; Metazoa; Chordata; Mammalia; Rodentia; Muridae. The record is from RNAcentral.